UGGGGAAUAUUGCACAAUGGGCGCAAGCCUGAUGCAGCCAUGCCGCGUGUGUGAAGAAGGCCCUCGGGUUGUAAAGCACUUUCAGCGGGGAGGAAGGCGAUAAGGUUAAUAACCUUGUCGAUUGACGUUACCCGCAGAAGAAGCACCGGCUAACUCCGUGCCAGCAGCCGCGGUAAUACGGAGGGUGCAAGCGUUAAUCGGAAUUACUGGGCGUAAAGCGCACGCAGGCGGUCUGUCAAGUCGGAUGUGAAAUCCCCGGGCUCAACCUGGGAACUGCAUUCGAAACUGGCAGGCUAGAGUCUUGUAGAGGGGGGUAGAAUUCCAGGUGUAGCGGUGAAAUGCGUAGAGAUCUGGGGGAAUACCGGUGGCGAAGGCGGCCCCCUGGACAAAGACUGACGCUCAGGUGCGAAAGCGUGGGGAGCAAACAGG
RNAcentral lists this ribosomal RNA (429 nucleotides) under Chloroflexota bacterium. RNAcentral describes it as "Chloroflexi bacterium partial 16S ribosomal RNA". It matches the Rfam family "Bacterial small subunit ribosomal RNA", at positions 355 to 776 of the family's 1533-position model. The record is from RNAcentral. Lineage: Bacteria; Bacillati; Chloroflexota.